AUACUUACCUGGCACGGGCGACAUCAUGAUCAAGAAGGUGGUUCACCCAGGGCGAGGCUUGACCACUGCACUCCGAUUUUGCUGACCCCUGCAAAUUCCCCAAAUGUGGAAUCUCGAUUGCAUUAUUUCUGUUAGAGGGGGACUGCGUUCGUGCUCUCCCCUG
This is a small nuclear RNA of Lampris incognitus (smalleye Pacific opah), 163 nucleotides long. RefSeq annotates it as U1 spliceosomal RNA. The transcript has a single exon. NCBI's taxonomy places the organism in Eukaryota, Metazoa, Chordata, Actinopteri, Lampriformes, Lampridae. The record is from RefSeq and is a predicted model, not a curated record.